Molecule: small nucleolar RNA, 205 nt
Filed under: Ochotona princeps (American pika)
Lineage: Eukaryota; Metazoa; Chordata; Mammalia; Lagomorpha; Ochotonidae
Description: Small nucleolar RNA SNORA73 family (ENSOPRG00000019916.1)
Rfam family: Small nucleolar RNA SNORA73 family
About the family: U17 (SNORA73A and SNORA73B) also known as E1 belongs to the H/ACA class of small nucleolar RNAs (snoRNAs).
Source: RNAcentral
CCAACGUGGAUAUCCUGGGAGGUCACUCUCCCCAGGCUCUGUCCAGGCAGCACAAGGGGAGCACAGGGCUCUGCCCUAUGAUGUACGGUCCCUUCCCGCAGCGUUGGAAAGAAAGCUGGGCCUUGAGUCUGCACCUGCAUAUUCCUACAGCUUCUCAGAGUCCCUUGGACAAUGACUGAGGGGACAAACCAUGCAGGAAACAGUU